This is a long non-coding RNA of Triticum aestivum (bread wheat), 1308 nucleotides long. RefSeq lists it as uncharacterized. The transcript has 3 exons. NCBI's taxonomy places the organism in Eukaryota, Viridiplantae, Streptophyta, Magnoliopsida, Poales, Poaceae. The record is from RefSeq and is a predicted model, not a curated record.
GAAACGAGCAGUCAGCCGCACGGCCGCACGCGCCCCAGCUCUCGAAAAGCACUCGAGUCUCGACGACCUAGCUGCCGGGUCGACGACCUAGCCGCCGGGCAGCCGGAGCUGGCGGAGCCGCGGCGCGGAGCUCGCCACACCGCGCAGACCUCGGCACUCCGCCGGUCGUCGCCCAACGAGGGAGCCAGCACGGGGAGGCGGGCAGCUCGUCGGUCGUCGGCCGUCGCCCAUCGCCUGAGCCAGCCGACGCCUGUCCGUCGCCCAUCGCCUGAGCAGUGGACUGCGCCUGAGGACCUCCGACUCCGAGGCAAUCGAGGCUCCCCUGCCUGUGCCUGAAAUGAAGAGAAAGAAGUUUGCACAGUUGGUUUCCAAGCAGUUAAAGAAAGGGACUGUCUAUUUGACAUUUGACUGUUUUUCAAUUCGAAAACAGUCAAAUUUCCCGACCAAUCAACACAAUACAUCUGUAUUAGCAGCAAAAUCACCAAAAAACAGAAAAGAACACCUAAACGGGUCGGGUAAACAUCUCACGCGGUUCGUCCUGGACAAACAAACCCCCCUCCCGAUCAGGGGACCACAUAGCACAUGCCAGCAAGUUUGCAACGCACGCAAAGACCAAGCCCCUCCACAAAACAGGGCUGGAACAAAUCUGGGAGCCGCCCAUGGGAGAGGCAGCCAUGGCAGAUCGGGGAGGAGGAGAAGAAGGAAGAGCAAACACAAAAUUCGGAGAGGGAAAUGUACCUGAGGAGAAGCAGCAGGGAGAUCAACAACACGAUCAUCUACAGGAUAUUCCAACGACAAGGACUAAGAGGUGCAGCAAAGCGCGCAUGCCCUUCUAGUCAAGAGAAGAAAGAUGGCAAAGGAAUCCUGAGAAUCGCACCGUAUGCUAAAUCUGCUAACACAAUUUUGAAUAGUCAAAUCCCUGUCAAGUUAGUACUGGUGGAGGAGUUUUUUUUUUAUCUAGAGUUAAGGUACAAGAAAGCUACGAAUUUAAUCUUUUUGGUUGUUGCGUCGUGAGAACACGCGAGAGUUGCUAGCGAGAUUCAUUUCUGGUCUAUCUUGUGCUGGUUUUGUUACUUUAGCUUGUUGCAUCUCCCAUGAUCCAUAGUAUUUGUUCGGCUACAUCUUCUUCAUCUAUUUUGUUGCGUACCGUGAAAGAUUAGGAGGUCUACAAGCACGCAUGAAUUUGCAUCUUGACUUCAUCAAGUGGUAUCCAGAGCAAAGGUCGAUCAUGAUACAUUGUUGUUUAAGAUGUCAAACUCGGUUAACAAGAACAUCAAAGUUGUUACUGAUUUUGAGGAAGUUGUACGU